This 429-nucleotide ribosomal RNA is filed under the name Gemmatimonadota bacterium. Its description in RNAcentral is "Gemmatimonadetes bacterium partial 16S ribosomal RNA". It matches the Rfam family "Bacterial small subunit ribosomal RNA", at positions 355 to 776 of the family's 1533-position model. Lineage: Bacteria; Pseudomonadati; Gemmatimonadota. The record is from RNAcentral.
UAGGGAAUCUUCGGCAAUGGACGAAAGUCUGACCGAGCAACACCGCGUGAGUGAAGAAGGUUUUCGGAUCGUAAAACUCUGUUGUUAGAGAAGAACAAGGACGUUAGUAACUGAACGUCCCCUGACGGUAUCUAACCAGAAAGCCACGGCUAACUACGUGCCAGCAGCCGCGGUAAUACGUAGGUGGCAAGCGUUGUCCGGAUUUAUUGGGCGUAAAGCGAGCGCAGGCGGUUUCUUAAGUCUGAUGUGAAAGCCCCCGGCUCAACCGGGGAGGGUCAUUGGAAACUGGGAGACUUGAGUGCAGAGGAGGAGAGUGGAAUUCCAUGUGUAGCGGUGAAAUGCGUAGAUAUAUGGAGGAACACCAGUGGCGAAGGCGGCUCUCUGGUCUGUAACUGACGCUGAGGCUCGAAAGCGUGGGGAGCAAACAGG